Molecule: ribosomal RNA, 229 nt
Filed under: uncultured bacterium
Lineage: Bacteria
Description: partial 16S ribosomal RNA
Rfam family: Bacterial small subunit ribosomal RNA
Source: RNAcentral
CGCGUAGGUGGUUUGUUAAGUUGGAUGUGAAAGCCCAGGGCUCAACCCUGGAAGUGCAUUUGAUACUGCCAUGCUUGAGUAUGGGAGAGGAGAGCGGAAUUCCCAGUGUAGAGGUGAAAUUCGUAGAUAUUGGGAGGAACACCCGUGGCGAAGGCGGCUCUCUGGACCAAUACUGACGCUGAGACGCGAAAGCGUGGGGAGCAAACAGGAUUAGAUACCCUGGUAGUCC